UACAGAGGGUGCGAGCGUUGUUCGGAAUUACUGGGCGUAAAGCGCGCGUAGGCGGCCCGGUAAGUCCGCUGUGAAAGUCAAAGGCUCAACCUUUGAAUGUCAGCGGAUACUGCCGGGCUAGAGUCCGGAAGAGGCGAGUGGAAUUCCUGGUGUAGCGGUGGAAUGCGCAGAUAUCAGGAGGAACACCAACGGCGAAGGCAGCUCGCUGGGACGGUACUGACGCUGAGGCGCGAAAGCGUGGGGAGCGAACAGG
RNAcentral lists this ribosomal RNA (253 nucleotides) under uncultured bacterium. Its description in RNAcentral is "partial 16S ribosomal RNA". It matches the Rfam family "Bacterial small subunit ribosomal RNA", at positions 524 to 776 of the family's 1533-position model. The record is from RNAcentral.